AUUCCAUGCUGCGGACAUUUCCUUAACAUCUCUUUAUACCUCUCCCAUGUCUCAUACAAUGAUUCGGACUCCAAUUGAUGAAAGGAAGAGAUAUUACUUCUGAGUAU
Dioscorea cayenensis subsp. rotundata (Guinea yam) is the source of this 107-nucleotide small nucleolar RNA. The record is from RefSeq and is a predicted model, not a curated record. NCBI's taxonomy places the organism in Eukaryota, Viridiplantae, Streptophyta, Magnoliopsida, Dioscoreales, Dioscoreaceae.